RNAcentral lists this ribosomal RNA (253 nucleotides) under uncultured bacterium. RNAcentral describes it as "partial 16S ribosomal RNA". It matches the Rfam family "Bacterial small subunit ribosomal RNA", at positions 524 to 776 of the family's 1533-position model. The record is from RNAcentral.
UACGUAGGUGGCAAGCGUUGUCCGGAUUUAUUGGGUUUAAAGGGUGCGUAGGCGGCUUUGUAAGUCAGUGGUGAAAUAUGGCAGCUUAACUGUCAGGGUGCCAUUGAUACUGCAGAGCUUGAGUACAGAUGAGGUAGGCGGAAUUGACGGUGUAGCGGUGAAAUGCUUAGAUAUCGUCAAGAACACCUAUAGCGAAGGCAGCUUACUAGGCUGUAACUGACGCUGAGGCACGAAGGUGUGGGGAUCAAACAGG